Molecule: ribosomal RNA, 618 nt
Filed under: Colletotrichum siamense
Lineage: Eukaryota; Fungi; Ascomycota; Sordariomycetes; Glomerellales; Glomerellaceae
Description: eukaryotic LSU rRNA
Rfam family: 5.8S ribosomal RNA (bases 243-396)
Source: RNAcentral
UCUUGGUCCAAUUAGAGGAAGUAAAAGUCGUAACAAGGUCUCCGUUGGUGAACCAGCGGAGGGAUCAUUACUGAGUUUACGCUCUAUAACCCUUUGUGAACAUACCUAUAACUGUUGCUUCGGCGGGUAGGGUCUCCGUGACCCUCCCGGCCUCCCGCCCCCGGGCGGGUCGGCGCCCGCCGGAGGAUAACCAAACUCUGAUUUAACGACGUUUCUUCUGAGUGGUACAAGCAAAUAAUCAAAACUUUUAACAACGGAUCUCUUGGUUCUGGCAUCGAUGAAGAACGCAGCGAAAUGCGAUAAGUAAUGUGAAUUGCAGAAUUCAGUGAAUCAUCGAAUCUUUGAACGCACAUUGCGCCCGCCAGCAUUCUGGCGGGCAUGCCUGUUCGAGCGUCAUUUCAACCCUCAAGCUCUGCUUGGUGUUGGGGCCCUACAGCUGAUGUAGGCCCUCAAAGGUAGUGGCGGACCCUCCCGGAGCCUCCUUUGCGUAGUAACUUUACGUCUCGCACUGGGAUCCGGAGGGACUCUUGCCGUAAAACCCCCAAUUUUCCAAAGGUUGACCUCGGAUCAGGUAGGAAUACCCGCUGAACUUAAGCAUAUCAAAGGCCGGGAGGGAAA